AUGGAGCUGAUCAAACACACGGCCACUCCAUCAAGCAAGACCCUUUUCCAACACGAACCCGCCGACGGCGGAGAUGCCGCGAGCGGAACCAUCGGCGGCCUCCCUUUCCACCUCACGGAGAGGAUCCUCCGCCGCAUCAGCCCGCUCGAGUCGGCGCCUUUCGCCUCCGUCUGCAAGUCCUGGGCGGCGAUCAUCUCCGAGCGGCUAGCGAGACCCACCCCGCACCUGUUCGCGCUCGAAGUCCUCGACGAGGACGAGUACUUCCUCGAUCUCCUGUUCGUGCCCGACUUGGAGCGCCGCCGUGGCGCCAUCUUCUCCGUGCCGACCGACGACGAGGAGUCGCCGGCGCCGGUGAUCCCCGCCCGUCUGCCGGCCACGGUCAGCCACGCGAAAGAUGACAGCAUAAAGUUGUCUGGCGCCUUGCCCUGCGGCGGCCUCUCCUUCGCGGAAGACAACCGCGUCGUCCUCGUCAACCCCGUCACCGGCGCGUUCCAGAGCAUCGAGAUGUACCCGCCCCGGCACAGGCUUCUGAUUCAACCGACGGUCAGGGCCGUGGCCGGCGCCGACGCGUUCUUCGUUAGCCAGUAUUUCGAGCGAACCGUCACUCUCCGGUGGCGCGAGGAGGAGGAGUGGUCCGAGCAGAAUCUGCUCCUGCCGGAAGAGUUCACAAGGAGCGAUGCCAUCGACCUGGUGGCCUACAGCGGCGGCAUCUUCUACGCCAUGGAGUUCUUCGGCUUCACCCACACCGUGGACACGCGUGCGCCGUCGCCGUGGCGCCUGGUGAGGCUCCGUGCGCCGAGCAUUCUCGAGCAGUACUCCCCGAUCUGCCUGUACCGCUACCUCCGGAACUCUCACCUGCUCGAGUUAGAAGGGGAGGUCAUGUUUGUGGGCCCGGUGCUCGCACCAGAUGAACCCCUUUGCCCCAAGACCAUCAGAGGCUUCGAGGUGUGCAAGCCUGAUCUCGAGCGGUCACGAUGGGUGAAAGUGGAGAGGCUCGCCGAUGACCGGGCGCUGUUCGUGAGCCAGCAGUCGUCGUUCUCAGUGCGUGCAUCGGAGACGCCGGGGUGCAGGGGCAACUGCAUCUACUUUGUGAGCGAAUUCGACGAAACCUACAUACAGGACACUUGGGGCGUGUAUUCCAUGGAGGAGCAGAAGGUGCUGUUUCAACGCCCCGUCGGUGGUUCGCCGGGAAAGUACAAAGCUGCACGGUGGUUCUUCCCUAGGGUCGGUGCAUCACCAGUGCGCACAAACUGUGCAAACUCUGGAAAGAAGAGAAAUUUCCAAAUGCUCUAG
Molecule: ribosomal RNA, 1293 nt
Filed under: Triticum aestivum (bread wheat)
Lineage: Eukaryota; Viridiplantae; Streptophyta; Magnoliopsida; Poales; Poaceae
Description: partial small subunit ribosomal RNA
Source: RNAcentral